GAGGCAGGGCUGGGGCCACCAGAAUCUUACAUCUCUGGCUUGGGUUUCAGCUCCCAGCCACUCUCUUUUACAGAGCCCACAAAGCGUGGACGGCCACCCAGCCUUCCCAGUUUACAUGAUCAUGGGGAGAGCCUGUCAAAAGCAACUGCACAGAGCCUGUGCUUAAGAUGGCAGGAUCGCAAGACAGAGCAACUGGAGCAAGUCCUCAUUAAGAAGAGCCGCCCGAUGCAUUUGGACUGCGAUGUGUUACGCCCAUGAGAUUUCAGGGUUAAUUUGUUACCUGGCCGUGGCCUAUCCUCUUCCAGCAGAUACAGAGGCUACUGCAGUUUGCAACUUUGCAGAUACCAGCAGAGGAAGAAAAACCUGGGAGACUGCUGCUAACCUAAUGUGGAGACUUGACUUAAACUUCAGCCAGACAAAGGCGGAAUCUUAAUAUGGAGGGGCCUGGCUCUGCAGGGAGGUCACCUGGGCUGGCUGGAUUUCAAUCCAGUUACACAGCAAAAAAGUUACAACCCAAGC
RNAcentral lists this long non-coding RNA (519 nucleotides) under Homo sapiens (human). Its description in RNAcentral is "non-protein coding lnc-PANK3-2:2". Lineage: Eukaryota; Metazoa; Chordata; Mammalia; Primates; Hominidae. The record is from RNAcentral.